GAUUUGAUGAGCUAAACAUCUGUUAAAAGUGCAUCAAAACUGGUAGGUUACUGUUCAUAUGGUCAAUUUUCAGAUUGGCUUACAGUCCAUACUUGAAUACCUCAUUUUUGGUCACUUUUGGGAAGUGUCAUAGCCAAAUUUUGCUGUAGUUUGUUCUGUGAGUACUUAGUUGUCUGCAUCUAUCCAUUAUCAUCAUAUAAACUUGAUGGAAACCCUCAUAUAUCCUAUUUCAUAUCAGUUAAGCAUCAGUUUUAAAUUUUCCAGACCAGAUUGCCAUGUGCAGCCAGCUUUGAACAGUGAUAAAAAUUGAGUUUAAUUGUUAAUUGUGUGGAUUGGCAAAAGCUGGGAGAAAAUUAUCUCUGUUUUCCUAACCAUUGCUAUUGAAAAAUAACAUCUAAAAGAAGCUUGAAACUCCCGCAAUCCAGUAGCCAACAAGUCAGUAACAGUAGAAACAUCUAUAUACAAUUUUCUUUGAGACAUUCCAUCAAACAUUUUGCCAAUUUGGAGAAUUCGUGUAAAACUUGUAUACUGCAGCAUGUGUGUCUUUUAUUGCUUUGUGAAUCUGUUCUAGAGCUAUCCUAAGAUCCUUUUGAGUGCCAACUUUCAUUGCAAACCGAAUUAAUUGCUUGAUUGUCUUGUUUGAAAAUCUGUCACCAAGUGUUUGAUGAAAGUCCUUGGUGCAAAGUCUGUUUGAUAUUUCCAGCAGUAGCAAAAUCUAUUUUCUGUGGCAAUUAACAUUGAUCUGGUGGAUUCUUUGUGAGUGUUUNGUGGCUGCAGAAAAGCUUCAANCAAUUNCCUAUUGUUGGUAGCAUAUUAGAAAGAAGAUUGGUGAGGUUAAAGUUGGUUGAAGGGUGGCUUGGUGUUGCAUAUUUCUCACGGCAGUGCAGAAUUUACUCCAGAUUUUGUUGCAGUAACAGCAAUUGCUGGACAGAGUGCGAAAUACAUGAGUUAGCCUCCUUUUUUACUGCAACUGUGAGCUUUGUGUGGCUACAUCUAGUGCCAACAAGUUUCCUUUGAAGAGAAGCCAAAGUUGCACUUCCAAACCCUUCCAUUGUUACUUUUACUUGCUUAAAAUUGUGUAAAUUAUUGUUUUUGGUUUCUUUGGUUGUAAGUUCCAAAUCCAAGCAAGUGAGGUGCUAGAGUUCACAAGUGCUCUUCCCUCAUUUGUAACUAGACUCAAAGAAGUCUCACAANNNN
Molecule: long non-coding RNA, 1197 nt
Filed under: Vigna radiata
Lineage: Eukaryota; Viridiplantae; Streptophyta; Magnoliopsida; Fabales; Fabaceae
Description: long non-coding RNA (VRAD_LNC017283)
Source: RNAcentral